This 929-nucleotide ribosomal RNA is filed under the name Halomonas elongata. RNAcentral's name for it is "bacterial SSU rRNA". It matches the Rfam family "Bacterial small subunit ribosomal RNA", at positions 56 to 977 of the family's 1533-position model. Lineage: Bacteria; Pseudomonadati; Pseudomonadota; Gammaproteobacteria; Oceanospirillales; Halomonadaceae. The record is from RNAcentral.
UGCAAGUCGAGCGGAACGAUCCUAGCUUGCUAGGAGGCGUCGAGCGGCGGACGGGUGAGUAAUGCAUAGGAAUCUGCCCGGUAGUGGGGGAUAACUUGAGGAAACUCAAGCUAAUACCGCAUACGCCCUACGGGGGAAAGCAGGGGCUCUUCGGACCUUGCGCUAUCGGAUGAGCUUAUGUCGGAUUAGCUGGUUGGUGAGGUAACGGCUCACCAAGGCGACGAUCCGUAGCUGGUCUGAGAGGAUGAUCAGCCACAUCGGGACUGAGACACGGCCCGAACUCCUACGGGAGGCAGCAGUGGGGAAUAUUGGACAAUGGGGGCAACCCUGAUCCAGCCAUGCCGCGUGUGUGAAGAAGGCCCUCGGGUUGUAAAGCACUUUCAGCGAGGAAGAAUGCUUGUCGGUUAAUACCCGGCAAGGGAGACAUCACUCGCAGAAGAAGCACCGGCUAACUCCGUGCCAGCAGCCGCGGUAAUACGGAGGGUGCGAGCGUUAAUCGGAAUUACUGGGCGUAAAGCGUGCGUAGGCGGCUUGAUAAGCCGGUUGUGAAAGCCCCGGGCUCAACCUGGGAACGGCAUCCGGAACUGUUAGGCUAGAGUGCAGGAGAGGAAGGUAGAAUUCCCGGUGUAGCGGUGAAAUGCGUAGAGAUCGGGAGGAAUACCAGUGGCGAAGGCGGCCUUCUGGACUGACACUGACGCUGAGGUACGAAAGCGUGGGUAGCAAACAGGAUUAGAUACCCUGGUAGUCCACGCCGUAAACGAUGUCGACUAGCCGUUGGGGUCCUCGAGACCUUUGUGGCGCAGUUAACGCACUAAGUCGACCGCCUGGGGAGUACGGCCGCAAGGUUAAAACUCAAAUGAAUUGACGGGGGCCCGCACAAGCGGUGGAGCAUGUGGUUUAAUUCGAUGCAACGCGAAGAACCUUACCUA